AUGAACGCUGGCGGCGUGCUUAACACAUGCAAGUCGAACGAUGAAGCCCAGCUUGCUGGGUGGAUUAGUGGCGAACGGGUGAGUAACACGUGAGUAACCUGCCCUUGACUCUAGGAUAAGCCCGGGAAACUGGGUCUAAUACUGGAUAGGAACGUCUACCGCAUGGUGGGUGUUGGAAAGAAUUUCGGUCAUGGAUGGACUCGCGGCCUAUCAGCUUGCUGGUGAGGUAAUGGCUCACCAAGGCGACGACGGGUAGCCGGCCUGAGAGGGUGACCGGCCACACUGGGACUGAGACACGGCCCAGACUCCUACGGGAGGCAGCAGUGGGGAAUAUUGCACAAUGGGCGAAAGCCUGAUGCAGCGACGCCGCGUGAGGGAUGACGGCCUUCGGGUUGUAAACCUCUUUCAGUAGGGAAGAAGCGAAAGUGACGGUACCUGCAGAAGAAGCACCGGCUAACUACGUG
RNAcentral lists this ribosomal RNA (464 nucleotides) under uncultured bacterium. RNAcentral describes it as "partial 16S ribosomal RNA". It matches the Rfam family "Bacterial small subunit ribosomal RNA", at positions 29 to 507 of the family's 1533-position model. The record is from RNAcentral.